This 541-nucleotide ribosomal RNA is filed under the name uncultured Gallionellaceae bacterium. Its description in RNAcentral is "bacterial SSU rRNA". It matches the Rfam family "Bacterial small subunit ribosomal RNA", at positions 135 to 671 of the family's 1533-position model. Lineage: Bacteria; Pseudomonadati; Pseudomonadota; Betaproteobacteria; Nitrosomonadales; Gallionellaceae. The record is from RNAcentral.
AGUGGGGGAUAACGUAGCGAAAGUUACGCUAAUACCGCAUAUGCCCUGAGGGGGAAAGGAGGGGAUCGUAAGACCUUUCGCUUUCGGAGUGGCCGAUAUCAGAUUAGCUAGUUGGUGAGGUAAAGGCUCACCAAGGCGACGAUCUGUAGCGGGUCUGAGAGGAUGAUCCGCCACACUGGGACUGAGACACGGCCCAGACUCCUACGGGGGGCAGCAGUGGGGAAUUUUGGACAAUGGGGGCAACCCUGAUCCAGCCAUGCCGCGUGAGUGAAGAAGGCCUUCGGGUUGUAAAGCUCUUUCAGCCGGAAAGAAAUCAUGCUUACUAAUACUAAGUGUGGAUGACGGUACCGGAAGAAGAAGCACCGGCUAACUACGUGCCAGCAGCCGCGGUAAUACGUAGGGUGCGAGCGUUAAUCGGAAUUACUGGGCGUAAAGCGUGCGCAGGCGGUUUUUUAAGACAGACGUGAAAUCCCCGGGCUUAACCUGGGAACUGCGUUUGUGACUGGAAGGCUAGAGUGCGGCAGAGGGGGGUAGAAUUCCA